RNAcentral lists this ribosomal RNA (326 nucleotides) under uncultured eukaryote. Its description in RNAcentral is "partial 18S ribosomal RNA". It matches the Rfam family "Eukaryotic small subunit ribosomal RNA", at positions 1470 to 1796 of the family's 1831-position model. The record is from RNAcentral.
CCCUUAGAUGUUCUGGGCCGCACACGCGCUACACUGAAGGAGGCAGCGUGUACUCCUGGAUCGAAAGAUUUGGGUAACCCGCGAAUCUCCUUCGUGCUAGGGAUUGAGGUUUGCAAUUAUCCUUCAUGAACGAGGAAUUCCCAGUAAGUGCAAGUCAUAAGCUUGCGCUGACUACGUCCCUGCCUUUGUACACACCGCCCGUCGCUACUACCGAUUGAAUGAUUUAGUGAGGACUUCGGACUGGGACCGAUGCGGCUUUCGGGCUGCGUCGGUAUUCUGGAAAGAUGUCCAAACUGUAUCAUUUAGAGGAAGUAAAAGUCGUAACA